Molecule: ribosomal RNA, 433 nt
Filed under: uncultured bacterium
Lineage: Bacteria
Description: partial 16S ribosomal RNA
Rfam family: Bacterial small subunit ribosomal RNA
Source: RNAcentral
AGGGAAAGCUGGCGGCAGGCCUAACACAUGCAAGUCGAACGAACUCUUCGGAGUUAGUGGCGGACGGGUGAGUAACACGUGGGAACGUGCCUUUUGGUUCGGAAUAACUCAGGGAAACUUGUGCUAAUACCGAAUGUGCCCUUCGGGGGAAAGAUUUAUCGCCAUUAGAGCGGCCCGCGUCUGAUUAGCUAGUUGGUGAGGUAACGGCUCACCAAGGCGACGAUCAGUAGCUGGUCUGAGAGGAUGACCAGCCACACUGGGACUGAGACACGGCCCAGACUCCUACGGGAGGCAGCAGUGGGGAAUCUUGCGCAAUGGGCGAAAGCCUGACGCAGCCAUGCCGCGUGAAUGAUGAAGGUCUUAGGAUUGUAAAAUUCUUUCACCGGGGACGAUAAUGACGGUACCCGGAGAAGAAGCCCCGGCUAACUUCGUG